Molecule: ribosomal RNA, 467 nt
Filed under: Methylophilaceae bacterium
Lineage: Bacteria; Pseudomonadati; Pseudomonadota; Betaproteobacteria; Nitrosomonadales; Methylophilaceae
Description: bacterial SSU rRNA
Rfam family: Bacterial small subunit ribosomal RNA
Source: RNAcentral
AAACUGAAGAGUUUGAUCCUGGCUCAGAUUGAACGCUGGCGGAAUGCUUUACACAUGCAAGUCGAACGGCAGCAUAGAGAGCUUGCUCUCUGAUGGCGAGUGGCGAACGGGUGAGUAAUAUAUCGGAACGUGCCUAGUAAUGGGGAACAACUAAUCGAAAGGUUAGCUAAUACCGCAUACGACCUACGGGUGAAAGCAGGGGAUCUUCGGACCUUGCGUUAUUAGAGCGGCCGAUAUCUGAUUAGGUAGUUGGUGGGGUAAAGGCCUACCAAGCCGACGAUCAGUAGCUGGUCUGAGAGGACGAUCAGCCACACUGGAACUGAGACACGGUCCAGACUCCUACGGGAGGCAGCAGUGGGGAAUUUUGGACAAUGGGGGAAACCCUGAUCCAGCCAUUCCGCGUGAGUGAAGAAGGCCUUCGGGUUGUAAAGCUCUUUCGCAAGAGAAGAAAUCUUACUAUCUAAUAA